GGGGUGAGGACAGUGCCUGGUGGGUAGUUUGACUGGGGCGGUCUCCUCCCAAAGAGUAACGGAGGAGCACGAAGGUGGGCUAAUCACGGUUGGACAUCGUGAGGUUAGUGCAAUGGCAUAAGCCCGCUUAACUGCGAGAAUGACGGUUCGAGCAGGUGCGAAAGCAGGUCAUAGUGAUCCGGUGGUUCUGUAUGGAAGGGCCAUCGCUCAACGGAUAAAAGGUACUCCGGGGAUAACAGGCUGAUACCGCCCAAGAGUUCAUAUCGACGGCGGUGUUUGGCACCUCGAUGUCGGCUCAUCACAUCCUGGGGCUGAAGUCGGUCCCAAGGGUAUGGCUGUUCGCCAUUUAAAGUGGUACGCGAGCUGGGUUUAGAACGUCGUGAGACAGUUCGGUCCCUAUCUGCCGUGGGCGUUGGAAGAUUGAAGGGGGCUGCUCCUAGUACGAGAGGACCGGAGUGGACGAACCUCUGGUGUUCGGGUUGUGUCGCCAGACGCAUUGCCCGGUAGCUAAGUUCGGAAUUGAUAAGCGCUGAAAGCAUCUAAGCGCGAAGCGAGCCCUGAGAUGAGUCUUCCCUGAUACUUUAAGUAUCCUAAAGGGUUGUUCGAGACUAGAACGUUGAUAGGCAGGGUGUGUAAGCGUUGUGAGGCGUUGAGCUAACCUGUACUAAUUGCCCGUGAGGCUUAACCAUACAACACCCAAGGGGUUUUGUA
RNAcentral lists this ribosomal RNA (711 nucleotides) under Vibrio cholerae. Its description in RNAcentral is "partial 23S ribosomal RNA". It matches the Rfam family "Bacterial large subunit ribosomal RNA", at positions 2242 to 2925 of the family's 2925-position model. The record is from RNAcentral. Lineage: Bacteria; Pseudomonadati; Pseudomonadota; Gammaproteobacteria; Vibrionales; Vibrionaceae.